AUUCGAAAGGGAUUGGAUUCAAGUCGCCCGGUGUUCCAGGCCGCCUUACCUUGCCAGAUGGUGCCGGUCGCCCACGGUGAUUCAUUUCGCUUGUGGUGUCGUUCCCGGCGAUCACUCGGUGGGGUGGUGUUGCUCUGCCACCGGAUGGGUGCACUUCCUCCCUAGUAGAAACGUCGCGACCCGUUGGGUGCCGGUCAAAGGCCCGGGAUGGCAGCCCGCGUGUCCUGUGGAUUUUCUACAGGCAUGUGGACUCCUGGUGACCCGGCCGGCUGCCCGACGGUAUGACCAGAGGAGUCGAUCCGCUGAAAGUGAAACACUGUGGUUGUGAAGCGUCCGGCCCGGCUCCGAUGCGUGCGGGUAUUGUGGUGCAAACCGGGGGUGUCCGUGCGAACCACGGACCCGGUCCCGCUACGUUGUUGGGGUCGGUGACCUCGGACUGGAUCAGUACUCCCGUCGGCGACGCCCACCUUCGGAUGGUCUCCCGC
This 485-nucleotide ribosomal RNA is filed under the name Pharnacia ponderosa. RNAcentral describes it as "partial 28S ribosomal RNA". Lineage: Eukaryota; Metazoa; Arthropoda; Insecta; Phasmatodea; Phasmatidae. The record is from RNAcentral.